AGGAACCUGCAGCCUGAUGUUCUCUGCGUUCUGGUGCUUGGAAAGAGGAAGACAAAAGGGAAAAGAAGAUGAGAACUAUAAACACUGGGAUUUUACUAGUUGCCUCCAACCAGCAGGAAGGUUGCAACUUGCAUUAAAGACCUGCUUACUCGAGCUUGUUGCAAUGCGCUUCCCAACUGGGUUGCCCAGGCUGGCAGCAGCAGUGGGCAUGGAGCUCCCGGCCCUCCCCACCGAUCAAACUGCUGAGGGUCAGCCUUGCUCCCUGUGACAUGCUGGGACUAAGCAGGAGAAAGCAAAGAACUGAAGAAGUCCUGCAGGUGCUGAAGAGAAGAGCAGCUUUUGCCUGUAGCAGGCAGCAGCAGAGGGCUGCUGCUAUGUGCUGAGACACCCCCGAAUCCUGCUUUGUUAAGCAUCUCAGUGAAACUCCUUCU
Cygnus olor (mute swan) is the source of this 431-nucleotide long non-coding RNA. RefSeq lists it as uncharacterized. The transcript has 3 exons. The record is from RefSeq and is a predicted model, not a curated record. NCBI's taxonomy places the organism in Eukaryota, Metazoa, Chordata, Aves, Anseriformes, Anatidae.